This 74-nucleotide transfer RNA is filed under the name Grus carunculatus (wattled crane). Its description in RNAcentral is "tRNA-Ser". It matches the Rfam family "tRNA". Rfam says of the family: Transfer RNA (tRNA) molecules are approximately 80 nucleotides in length. The record is from RNAcentral. Lineage: Eukaryota; Metazoa; Chordata; Aves; Gruiformes; Gruidae.
AAGAAAGAAGCAUGAGUGGUUUAAUGCGGUUGGCUUGAAACCAGCGUGUGACGGUUCGAUUCCUUCCUUUCUUG